UAGGGAAUCUUCCGCAAUGGACGCAAGUCUGACGGAGCAACGCCGCGUGAGUGAAGAAGGAUUUCGGUUCGUAAAACUCUGUUGUUAGAGAAGAACAGCGCAUAGAGUAACUGUUAUGCGUGUGACGGUAUCUAACCAGAAAGCCACGGCUAACUACGUGCCAGCAGCCGCGGUAAUACGUAGGUGGCAAGCGUUGUCCGGAUUUAUUGGGCGUAAAGCGAGCGCAGGCGGUCAAUUAAGUCUGAUGUGAAAGCCCCCGGCUCAACCGGGGAGGGUCAUUGGAAACUGGUUGACUUGAGUGCAGAAGAGGAGAGUGGAAUUCCAUGUGUGGCGGUGAAAUGCGUAGAUAUAUGGAGGAACACCAGUGGCGAAGGCGACUCUCUGGUCUGUAACUGACGCUGAGGAUCGAAAGCGUGGGUAGCAAACAGG
This 429-nucleotide ribosomal RNA is filed under the name Bacteroidota bacterium. Its description in RNAcentral is "Bacteroidetes bacterium partial 16S ribosomal RNA". It matches the Rfam family "Bacterial small subunit ribosomal RNA", at positions 355 to 776 of the family's 1533-position model. Lineage: Bacteria; Pseudomonadati; Bacteroidota. The record is from RNAcentral.